RNAcentral lists this small nucleolar RNA (107 nucleotides) under Gossypium hirsutum (cotton). Its description in RNAcentral is "Plant small nucleolar RNA R71". It matches the Rfam family "Plant small nucleolar RNA R71". Rfam says of the family: R71 is a member of the C/D box family of snoRNAs containing the C (UGAUGA) and D (CUGA) box motifs. Lineage: Eukaryota; Viridiplantae; Streptophyta; Magnoliopsida; Malvales; Malvaceae. The record is from Rfam by way of RNAcentral.
AACCCAUGGUGAGGGAACCUUCUCAAUAAAUCCUUAUACCUCUCCCAUGCGUCAUAUAAUAUCUCUAAAUUGAUCUACACAAUGGAAGAGAUGCCGUUCCUCAACUU